UGCAGUGAAUGUGCCCAAUCUGAACUUCAAUGUGAACAAGACCGGAGUAAAGUGGAUUAUCCGAAAGUACAAAAAAGCUUUUAAGAAGGGAUCAAAAAUUUGAGCACCUGAGUUCCAAGAGUACCUAGCAAAAGCAUGGCUAGAUGAGGAUGAUGAUGACUCAGAUACACCAUGAAAAAGUCACCAUUGCCUAGACUUUUUAGAAUCAGUAUAUGGGAAUCGAUGGUCCGUCGAGAAGGGAUGAAUAGAGGAACUCAUAGGAAGAGGCCACGGCAAAUUCAACGACCUCAAGAACGACCUAAAUGCCGACAUUUGGAGCUGCCAUUAAAGGAGAAAUCUCUAAUAAUAGAGAAAUCUCCUAAGUUGAAAGAAAAGUUUUCUGAAGCUUUAGCACAUGAAGCAAUUGCCGAACAUGCGAUUGUUUUAGGAAAUUUUCUUUCUUUAACAUCAUUUUGAUUCAAUAAAUACACGUUCUAAUAAUGUAUGCUCCUUGUUUGCAGAUAAGGAAUCCACACAAUUUGAUUGGGUUGAUUCAGAAGAGGAAGAAAGGGUCAACUAUGAAACCGAGACCUAUAUCACUGAUCCUGAUGAAUCCGCUCGAGGAGACGAUGCAGGUGGAUCAUCUUACAUACCAGAUACUGAACCCAAGCCCAAAGUUGGCACUACGAUGACCAUGGCUUUUCCCAUCACCAGACUCUUUACCAAACAUUUGAUCUCUAUUGAGGAAUCAUCUGACUUUGAUGAAGACACUUGAAUUUCUCUAUUUCCCUAAGGAGAUGAGAUACGGAUCCUACUAAGAUCUGAACCUCAAAUUGAGAGUGGACCCAUGGUGGUGGUGGAAAACUCUGUUAGACCAGAGACCAAGAUCACCAACAUUAAUGAUGAGCCUACAGUCACACUACAAAAACAACGUGCGGUUCAAUUACCAUUGACAUCAAUUGCACCCCCAUCAUGACUGAGGACUUAGCUAUGGUGACUGAAGCAGGCCCGUCGAGGCAAGAAGAUACUCCUUUAUCUCCGGACUCUAAUAACUCAACUGAACUAUAUUUAAAUUCUAACUAAGAGCUUAAUGAAUUUAUUCAGUCAGAGUGUCGAGAGUGUUCUGACUCCCAUAAUAGGCUUUUCCUCCCACAUUAAGCAUUUAUUAAAGAGUCAGGCGACAUCCUUGCAUCAGUUGCUAGAGCUAAGUGCACGGAGCCUUUGAGGAAGAUCAACGACCAAACUGAACUCUAUUUUCUAGAACUAUAGAAUUUUCGUGAGGCCGAUGUUGCCAUUGUCAUGGACCUCAAGUUUGAUUGCCUCACAGUAGAGUGGCAUAAGCUUGAAGAGACUGCUUACAAGGAGGUAGAAGAGGUUAACCAAUGACUCUAAGAAUUAACCACUCAUUUUUUUAAGAUCGAUGGUGAAAAUACUAAAAUCACCUGUGCCAUCUUUGAUAAGGAAGCCACUAUCAAUAAGGCUAAGGCCCUUAUCGCCAAAGGGCAAGCUAUGUUAGAGAUGGAUCAGAAGAAAAAGGAGGAACUUGAGGUUAAGUUUGCCAAAUGGUUGCUGAGCAAAUCCAAAGAGCAAAACGCUUGAAGAUCGAAUGGGCCGGUUGGAUGUUGUCGAAGCCAGAGCAGUUCCAGCUAAUUCAAAGGUUUUGAAGGAGCAAACUUUGAACGACACCCUUGAUGUGUGAAAAAAUGGAAUGGCCUAAUGUGUAGAGCGUAUUAGGUCCUUGUAUCACUAAUGCUUUUGGCCUAUCUUUGUAUUGCAUUACUCACUUUUAUAAUGAAUUAGUUCAC
This is a long non-coding RNA of Asparagus officinalis (garden asparagus), 1784 nucleotides long. RefSeq lists it as uncharacterized. The record is from RefSeq and is a predicted model, not a curated record. NCBI's taxonomy places the organism in Eukaryota, Viridiplantae, Streptophyta, Magnoliopsida, Asparagales, Asparagaceae. The transcript has 3 exons.